CCUACGGGAGGCAGCAGUAGGGAAUAUUGCUCAAUGGGGGAAACCCUGAAGCAGCAACGCCGCGUGGAGGAUGAAGCUUUUCGGAUUGUAAACUCCUUUUGUUAGAGAAGAUAAUGACGGUAUCUAACGAAUAAGCACCGGCUAACUCCGGUCCAGCAGCCGCGGUACUACGUAGGGGGCAAGCGUUACUCGGAAUCACUGGGCGUAAAGAGCGCGGAGGCGGGAUAGCAAGCCAGAUGUGAAACACUAUGGCUUAACCAUAGUAAUGAAUUUGAAACUGUUAUUCUAGAGUAGGGGAGAGGUAGGUGGAAUUGUUGGUGUAGGGGUAAAGUGCGUAGAGAUCAAGAGGAAUACGCAGUGCGAAGGCGACCUGCUAGAACAUAAGUGACGCUGAUGAGCGAAAGCGUGGGGAGCAAACAGGAUUAGAUACCCGGGUAGUC
This 440-nucleotide ribosomal RNA is filed under the name uncultured bacterium. RNAcentral describes it as "partial 16S ribosomal RNA". It matches the Rfam family "Bacterial small subunit ribosomal RNA", at positions 338 to 795 of the family's 1533-position model. The record is from RNAcentral.